GACAACGUGACCGAGUGGUUAAGGUGACCGCCUACUAAGCGGUUGGGCUAUGCCCGCACAGGUUCGAACCCUGUCGUUGUCG
Non-coding RNA from Blastocladiella britannica, 82 nucleotides. The record is from the annotation of a GenBank genome assembly. NCBI's taxonomy places the organism in Eukaryota, Fungi, Blastocladiomycota, Blastocladiomycetes, Blastocladiales, Blastocladiaceae.